AUUGAACGCUGGCGGCAUGCCUUACACAUGCAAGUCGAACGGUAACGGGCCUUCGGGUGCCGACGAGUGGCGAACGGGUGAGUAAUGCAUCGGAACGUACCUUUCAGUGGGGGAUAACGUAGCGAAAGUUACGCUAAUACCGCAUAUUCUGUGAGCAGGAAAGCAGGGGAUCGCAAGACCUUGCGCUGAUUGAGCGGCCGAUGUCAGAUUAGCUAGUUGGUGAGGUAAAGGCUCACCAAGGCGACGAUCUGUAGCGGGUCUGAGAGGAUGAUCAGCCACACUGGGACUGAGACACGGCCCAGACUCCUACGGGAGGCAGCAGUGGGGAAUAUUGGACAAUGGGCGAAAGCCUGAUCCAGCAAUGCCGCGUGAGUGAUGAAGGCCUUAGGGUUGUAAAGCUCUUUUACCAGGGAUGAUAAUGACAGUACCUGGAGAAUAAGCUCCGGCUAACUCCGUG
This 457-nucleotide ribosomal RNA is filed under the name uncultured bacterium. RNAcentral's name for it is "bacterial SSU rRNA". It matches the Rfam family "Bacterial small subunit ribosomal RNA", at positions 30 to 507 of the family's 1533-position model. The record is from RNAcentral.